GAUGAACGCUGGCGGCGUGCCUAAUACAUGCAAGUCGAGCGAACAGAUGAGGAGCUUGCUCCAUGGCCUUUGGCGGCGGCCGGGGGGGUAAACGUUGGAUAACCACCCUUAAGGACGGGGAUAAUUCCGGAAACCCGGAGCAAUUCCCGAUAAUAUAUUUAAACCCCAGGGUUCAUUAUGAAAAACGGUUUUUCUGUCACUUAUUAAAUGAUUCGCCGCCGCAUUAGCUAGUUGGUAAGGUAACGGCUUACCAAGGCAACGAUGCGUAGCCGACCUGAGAGGGUGAUCGGCCACACUGGAACUGAGACACGGUCCAGACUCCUACGGGAGGCAGCAGUAGGGAAUCUUCCGCAAUGGGCGAAAGCCUGACGGAGCAACGCCGCGUGAGUGAUGAAGGUCUUCGGAUCGUAAAACUCUGUUAUUAGGGAAGAACAAAUGUGUAAGUAACUAUGCACGUCUUGACGGUACCUAAUCAGAAAGCCACGGCUAACUACGUG
This 497-nucleotide ribosomal RNA is filed under the name uncultured bacterium. RNAcentral describes it as "partial 16S ribosomal RNA". It matches the Rfam family "Bacterial small subunit ribosomal RNA", at positions 28 to 507 of the family's 1533-position model. The record is from RNAcentral.